AUUGAACGCUGGCGGCAGGCCUAACACAUGCAAGUCGAGCGGAGCGGCGGACGGGUGCGUAAUACCUAGGAAUCUGCCUGGUAGUGGGGGAUAACGUCCGCUAACGGGCGCUACUACCGCAUACUGUCAGAUGAGCCUCUGUCGGAUUAGCUAGUUGGUGGGGUAAAGGGCUACCAAGGCGACGAUCCGUAAAUGUACUGAGAGGAUGAUCAGUCAAACUGAAACUGAGACACGGUGCAGACUCGUACGUGAGGCAGCAGGGGGGAAUAUUGGACACUGGGCGAAAGCGUGAUCCAGCCAGGCCGAGUGUGUGAAGAAGGGCUUCGGAUUGUAAAGCACGUUAAGUUGGGAGGCGUUACCAACAGAAUAAGCACCGGCUAACUUCGUGCCAGCAGCGGCGGUAAUAC
RNAcentral lists this ribosomal RNA (407 nucleotides) under uncultured bacterium. RNAcentral describes it as "partial 16S ribosomal RNA". It matches the Rfam family "Bacterial small subunit ribosomal RNA", at positions 30 to 526 of the family's 1533-position model. The record is from RNAcentral.